RNAcentral lists this signal recognition particle RNA (296 nucleotides) under Phascolarctos cinereus (koala). RNAcentral's name for it is "Metazoan signal recognition particle RNA (ENSPCIG00000021961.2)". It matches the Rfam family "Metazoan signal recognition particle RNA". From Rfam's summary of the family: The signal recognition particle (SRP) is a universally conserved ribonucleoprotein. It is involved in the co-translational targeting of proteins to membranes. The eukaryotic SRP consists of a 300-nucleotide 7S RNA and six proteins: SRPs 72, 68, 54, 19, 14, and 9. The record is from RNAcentral. Lineage: Eukaryota; Metazoa; Chordata; Mammalia; Diprotodontia; Phascolarctidae.
GCUGGGCGUGGUGGUGCACUCUUGUAGUCCCUGCUGUUUAAUAAGACUGAGGCUGGUGGAUGGUGUGAGCUCAGGAGUUUUGAGCUGCAAUAUAGCUAAAGUCAAUCAGGUGUCUGAACUAAGUCUGGCACCAGUCUGGUGAGCCUCUGAGAGCAGGGGUCCACCAAACCAUGGAAGGAGGGGCUAACCAACCCAUGUCAGAAAACCGAGGCUGGGGAAAGCUUCUGUGUCAAUCAGUAUCAGGAUCAUGCUCAUAAGCAGCUAUUGUACUUCUAGCCUAGAAAGACCUAGUCUUU